CAUAAAUUAACUUCUGUUUUUACUGGACUCUGUCAGACAGCUGUCAAACCUUAACAAAACGAGGGACCAUGAUGAUUUCUUCCGCGUGAAGCUUACAAUUGUUAGGGUUGAAAGACCUACCCGCUUCAGAGGAAGUUGAUGUCUCCCUCCCCUCCUUCUCCUCUCCUGCCCUCAGCAUUAGCGAUUACGCAGGUUAUUUUACUAGAUAGAUUUCUGACAACCUGGUCUUCAAGCAGCACGCUUUACAAUACUGCAGAUAGAGCUGGAUUUGGGGAGGUUCUGUAGAAAUCCCAAGGUUAACAUUGUGGUUUUGGUUAGAGCUGUUCUCACAUCAUUGAAAUAUUAAAAGAUAGUUCCAUGACAGCAGGAUCAGUGACCCAUUAUUACAGAAGAAAGAAUUCCGAAGGUCUUAUCGGUUAAUAGACAUCAAUAUUUUCACAUCAGCUGAGUACUUGCUUACAGAAUCUGAAAGAUAACAUCAGAAAUAAAAAUCUACGUGAACUACAAUGGUGAGGAGCACAGCCACUUGAAGCCACUGGUGCUGGCCCACCCCCAUCCAGGCCUCCCAGCCACAAGUGGCCCAGAAAGGAGUGGAGCUGUUCAGGGGCCUGCAGCACCACCUCAGUGUGCCCCCACCCCCACCUCUGGC
Molecule: long non-coding RNA, 649 nt
Organism: Heterocephalus glaber (naked mole-rat)
Lineage: Eukaryota; Metazoa; Chordata; Mammalia; Rodentia; Bathyergidae
Source: Ensembl